UUUAUUGCUGUCUUUCUUUUGUUAAGGCAGAGACCUAUAUACUAGGGAUUCGCAACAAGCUCAUUGGCUUACCAAACGUCACCGCCGAGCGGAAGUUCGGGUCAUUUAUCCCAGAGUCCAUUGCUGCUCCUAAUGUUUAGACGCCAUAUUGAAAGUACGCCUGAAACACAGUCAGCUUUAUCACAGCUCAUAGAAGACUAUUGUCCGAUAACAAAUCACGGGAAUCAAACAAUGCCAAAGAAGAAAAGAUCUACCAUUGGUACAUGACCCAAGUACUAUCAAAGUUUUCAAUACUAAAUAAUAAAAUAUUAUCAAUCAUCAAACA
This is a long non-coding RNA of Pecten maximus, 325 nucleotides long. RefSeq lists it as uncharacterized. NCBI's taxonomy places the organism in Eukaryota, Metazoa, Mollusca, Bivalvia, Pectinida, Pectinidae. The record is from RefSeq and is a predicted model, not a curated record. The transcript is spliced from 2 exons.